This 379-nucleotide ribosomal RNA is filed under the name uncultured Glomeromycotina. RNAcentral's name for it is "eukaryotic LSU rRNA". The record is from RNAcentral. Lineage: Eukaryota; Fungi; Glomeromycota.
UGAAAGGGAAACGAUUGAAGUCAGUCGUACCGGCGGAUAAUCAGCCUUUCGAGUAUGAUUUUGUGGAGUGUGAGGAGUUUAACUGCCUUCAUACCUGCAUAUUCGUGCGCUUUGGGUGUACUUGUCCGUACGGUAGGUUAACAUCAAUUUUUGGCCGUUAUAAAAUGGCUAGAGGAAUGUAACUUUGAUCUCGUAUUGAAGUGUUAUAGCCUCCGGUAGAUGUAAUGACUAGGAUUGAGGAUUGCAACGGAUACCUUUCGGGGCUACUCGUCUGAUCUCUGAAAGUUACUUUGGUGCUGAAAGCUUGCUUAUGGUUAUCGAAGUUGACAGUCAAUAGGUUAGAGCGGGUUAAUUCGUUAAGGAUGUUGACGUAAAGGGC